GCCAGGAGGGGUGGUGCAUGCCUGUAAUCCCAGCAAAUUAGGAGGCUGAGGCAGGAGGAUGACAAGUUGGAGGCCAGCCUCAGCAAAUUAGUGAGGCCCUGAGCAAGCUAGUGAGACCCUGUCUCAA
This 127-nucleotide small RNA is filed under the name Marmota monax (woodchuck). Lineage: Eukaryota; Metazoa; Chordata; Mammalia; Rodentia; Sciuridae. The record is from RNAcentral.